AUGGGGCGAUCACUAAGCAGCAACCACCCUUCCACCCAAACGACACUCCCCACCCUGCUCCUGCUCCCCAGCCUUGACAAAAGGGGGAGUCCCGGUGGGCAGGGAUCACAGCCACUGACCCACCUGCGCCAGCCCCCAGCCGGACUCGAGUCCGCUCCAGAUCCGUCCCAGGUUUUUCCUCCGCGUCGCUGGGGUCUCCGCCCCUCGGAGUCGCCGCGGGAGCCACCCGUGUCCCCAAACUCCAGGCGCCCGGGGCCCGCGUCUACUUGGAAGUCCAAGUCUGACCCGACGGCGACCCUGACCCCCGCAGACCGUCCUCGCCGCCUCCCAGCACCGGUGGGCUCUCAGCAUCCUGGCUCCUUCUCGGCGAGGGUGAUGAAGCUAGAAGCCAGUGGUGCAACAGCCACCUUAGAGGUCCCUAAGACGACUGCUCCAGAUGUGGACCCAGUUCUGAAACCCAACCAUGGAAGACAGGGGCCAAGUCCAGGUCUGGCUCUGGGCUUCAGGAUGAGGCAAGGGAGCUGAGCCAGGACUUGCGGUCAAGGCUGAGUCCUUGGGUAUGGAGCUCAGGUCAGAUGGAGACCUGAAGCAGAGAUGGAGCCAUUGGACUUCGUGGCAGCCAUGGAACUGGAGUUUGAGGAGGUGCUGGCCAUCUUGAGCAUGUCUACGAUGGCCUUGACUACUUCUGAGCUGACACCGCAGCGGGCUCUGGGAUCCCGACCACACUGCGGCGCUGGCCAAGUGUGAUGGAGGAGUCGUGAGAGCUGAGGAGAAAGGUCCAAGUGAAAAGGGACGAAUCGGGGUCUGGGGAUUUAGCCGCGCCUGCCUGGCAAGCACAAGGUCGUGAGUUCGAUUCCUGGUACUGGAGGAAAACAAAGGGGGGGGGACGAAUCUAGAUUGGAUGCCCAGAUAUUAGGAAGGAGAGGGGAUGAACUUCUCCCCAUGCCUCACUGGAUUGCUGAGGAAAUACAGCCCGCCAUGGUACCAAUGGGUAGGCUGUGGGAUCCAGGAGGUGUGUCCCCGAGGGUGGGAUGGGACCAUGAAGACUCUCAAACAGUAAGUGGGGCACGGAUGGCUGAAAUCGUAGCACUGUGGGAGGCUGAUGCAGGAUUGUAAGUUCAAGCCCAGCCUGGGUAACUUAGUGACUCAAACUCUGUUUAAAAAAAAAAAAGAAGGCCCCGGGUUCAGUCCCUCAUCGUCUCCUGCUGCCAUUCUCCCAAGCCUACAAACAGCAGAGAAACAGCUGGGGUUUUUCUGGGGUGGGUGACAGCUUUGCAGUUUAAGGAUCCAUUUGAGAGUUUCUAGGGACUGGACCACGAAACCUGAAACCAGGGAGCAGUCAGAGGGGGACCAGGCCCCACCUCCCCCGCAGACAGAGCGCAGAACAUGGGCCUAGAAGCUGAAGACCAGCUGAGCUAGGCUGGGCGAGUAGCUAAGAGGUAAGGGGGUGCGGCAGGAGCUAGGGAACUUGGCAUUACCGUGGGGGUGAAGCCAAGGAGAGAGGGCGUGGAGAGCAGACAGGGACCAGGUGCCAGAGGAACUGGCACAUCUUAACAGGUGGAAGAGGCCCAAGUGGAAAGAUUUCUGCCGGCUCUGCCAUCCGAGACCCAAGUGCCCCGGCGGCAGCAGAAGUAGGGUGAGCGCCCCCUAACGGCGGCGGUCUGCAAAAGGCGCCCGAGCCGGUGGAUGCCACUGACACCAAAGAGCUAGCUCAACCAGGGUGUGGCCGCGGUCCUCUAGUCGCAGCUGGUCAGGCGACAGCACCCGGGAGUCAAGGUGGCACAGCUUACCUGAGGCGACCAGCUGGACCCCCAGGAGCUAAAGAAGCAUCACUUAAUCACCAGGCAGGUAAGGAUAAAGGAUGGCCUGUCUCUGCUGGGACAUAAAGGCGUCCAUCCCAGCCCAGAGCAUUUGUACCUUUUUCAGUACUGAAGCUGCACUCCCAGUCCUUCCCUCCACUGUUUAGACAGGGUUUCGUUAUUGAAUUGCCUGAGCUGGGCUCGAACUUGUGAUCCUCCCGCCUCAGCCUCCCGGAGUGCCGGAAAUACAGGUAUGCGCUACUGUGCCAGGAAUUGCUUCUUUUUCUCUGGGUUUUACUGAGUGGAGCUGCCUGUGAGCCUUUGACCUUACCCAGACCCUUUUGCUAGAGAAAAUCAACUCAUGUCUGACUUCAAAUCCUUAGUCCUGGGGCCGGGGAUAUAGCUCAGUGGCACAAGCGCCUACCUGGCAAGUGCAAGGUCCUGAGUUUGACUUCCGGUACCAAAAAACAAAACAAAACAAAAAACCCCCCAAAACCUCUUAGUCCUAACUUCCAGACUUCCAUGCGCCUGCCGUGCCUACAUCCAUCCAGCUGCUCUUCAAGCACACAAACAUUCUAAGUCGAGCCUCUGUCCUCGCUCUCCAUCUGCCCCACCCAACCUACUGACCUGCUUCCUUCCAUUCAUCUCCUGGGAGACCCAGAGAUGCGUGUGCCCAUCUCCUGGGGAUGAAGGUAUGGGGAGCCCCAUCCCUCCUACCCUGGGGGACCCAGGCUCUCUCACACCCUACUCCCCCGCAGUCCCUCCCGGUCCUCCUGAGGGCCCUGGGAGGGAAGUAGAGUGAAGACAUGGGGAGGGGGGUUACUAGGCUGGCCCAUGCUCACUCAUGCCCCCCCACAGGUGGCACCAUAGCCGCCUCUGAUGUCGCCCUCCAGGCAGUGCCGGGUGCUUCCCACUGGGAUCACCUUUCAGGACCGGCUGUGCUCUGGCCAGGGACAGCGACCUGCGCCUAAUGGCGGCCAAGGGCCUGGACACCGAGGGCACCCACUCAUGCUGGGUUCGGCCCUCCUCCCGGUCUGCACCGCAGCCACAGCAAUGGUGCCACCUCAACAUGGCCGCUGCAGUGCCAAGUUCCGCGCUUCGCCAGCCUCAGCGUCAUGUGCCAGCUCUCCCUGGCACCCCAGCUGUGGCCACAGCUGGCUCAUUUCUGCCAGGCUGGCCUGGGGCUUGAACUGGUCAAGGGUUCUACUAAACAUCUGGGGCUUCUCCCCCCAGUGCAGAGGGAAGACGCUCUUUUGAUUCACACCCUUCCACACGUAUCCCACACCUGCCACUUCCGAGUCGCACCCCCACUCCCUGAGGUCCCCCCUAACUCCUACCCUUACCGGGUGUCCAUUCCCACCUUCCCUUUUCUCUUUACCUCUGUCUCCUAUCUUGUCUCUAGCAUUCCCAAAUAUCUUUGCCUAAAUCCAGACCUGAACUGCUGUUUUUUCUUCUAGGUGGGGCCAUGGGGUAUUGAACCCAGGACUUCCCUACUGAGCUAUACUGUCCCAUCCCUUUUUUAUGUAUUUUUUUCUUUUGAGACAGGAUCUUGCUAAAUUGCCCAGAGUUUGCUCUAACUUGCUAUCGUCCUGCUUCAGCCUCCUGGAGUGAUGAGAUUACAGGCUCACACUAUCACAUCUGGCUGUGAACCGCUGGAUUAGAGGGAUCCCCUUGCACUGCUAUUUAUUAUCCAACUUCUCCCCUUCCAAGAACUGGUCCCUUCCCGUGGGCGGACCUGGCCUGGGAGUGAGCUCCGCCCUCCCUGGCUUCUCCCUUCUGCCCCCUCGUGGGUGAAAGCGGGUAGAAGUCUGUCCGGGCCCAUCUGUUGCUCCUCUUCCCCGACCCUUUCUAAAACUUCACAGCCGCCAUCACUCCCCUCCUCCCUGCCCCCCUCAGCCUUCUGUGCCCCUAGAUCAGGGCCAUCUCCCUGAUUCUGUCCCCCACCCCCUCCUCCCUGGACCUCCCGCACUCUUAGCUCUUUUCCUGCCCUUCCGUUUCCCUUCUCAGCCUCCACACAGGCCCAGCGUGCAGUACGGAAAGAGACCUGUAAAUGAAAUACCGAAAACGUCCCCCUAUUUGGUCUCUGUUUACCUCUGCAGUACUUUCCUGAGCCUGCCCCUCCGACUUUGCCGGACAUCGCAUCCCUCCCCUCAGACCCAGCUCACCUGCGGUUCUGGCUGGAAGCUUUGGUGCCGGCGAGGUCAGGCUCGCGGCCUGGAAUGAGGCUGUCUGUCUCCUGGUUCCACCGGAUGCCCUCUAGGGGACUGGAACAUUCCUGGUAUUUCCGGACACUUCUCCCAAACUCUGGAUCGCAUAUGAUUUUUGGACUUUGAGAGCCUGCUAUUUAAAUACAGAUAGUAACUGCUGCAUUUGAAGAGCCCUGUCUCCUAGACUGGAGCCCCACAGCAACGUCAGAGGGAAGAAACACGCUCAGUGACUUGUAAGUCACUCUCAGGCACUGGGAGGCUGGCAGGGGUUAGAACGCAGGCAUGCCAAGCCCAGAGCAUGCCCAGAAGCUCUCUCCCUGUGGUGCUGUUAGCUCCAACUUCUUGUUGGACAAUGGACAGUUGCUAGGGAAAUGUUGACCAUAGCAACAGGGUUCGCUGGGCAUGGAAUCCAAGAUGUGGGCAGAGGAGGGCGCCAGGAAGGUGGGAGAAAGGUGGGCAAAAGGGACAGUUUCUCCCCUUCAUCACUUUCCCCAGCUCCGACUUUGGGGCCACCUCCCUGGUCAUUUCCUCCAUGGCCGUCUCACAAUAAAAGGGACCUUUUGCCUGCGCUCUGUGUGCGGUUCACUUCUUCUCAGUGGGAAGGGAUGAGACACAUUCUCUCCCGGCUUCCUCGGCAGCCUGUAUUAGAGAGGAUCUCCAA
RNAcentral lists this long non-coding RNA (4667 nucleotides) under Chinchilla lanigera (long-tailed chinchilla). RNAcentral describes it as "lncRNA (ENSCLAG00000025138.1)". The record is from RNAcentral. Lineage: Eukaryota; Metazoa; Chordata; Mammalia; Rodentia; Chinchillidae.